CCUACGGGUGGCAGCAGUGGGGAAUAUUGCACAAUGGGGGAAACCCUGAUGCAGCGACGCCGCGUGAGUGAAGAAGUAUUUCGGUAUGUAAAGCUCUAUCUGUAGGGAAGUAAAUGACGGUACCUGAUCAAGUAGCCCCGGCUAACUACGUGCCAGCAGCCGCGGUAAUACGUAGGGGGCAAGCGUUAUCCGGAUUUACUGGGUGUAAAGGGAGCGUAGACGGUGAGGCAAGUCAGAAGUGAAAGCCCGGGGCUCAACUGCGGGAGUGCUUGUGAAACUGUGUAACUGGAGUGCAGGAGAGGUAAGCGGAAUUCGUGGUGUAGCGGUGAAAUGCGUAGAUAUCAGGAGGAACACCAGUUGCGAAGGCAGCUUACUGAACUGUAACUGACGUUGAGGCUCGAAAGCGUGGGGAGCAAACAGGAUUAGAUACCCGUGUAGUC
This 440-nucleotide ribosomal RNA is filed under the name uncultured bacterium. Its description in RNAcentral is "partial 16S ribosomal RNA". It matches the Rfam family "Bacterial small subunit ribosomal RNA", at positions 338 to 795 of the family's 1533-position model. The record is from RNAcentral.